Molecule: long non-coding RNA, 2730 nt
Filed under: Sus scrofa (pig)
Lineage: Eukaryota; Metazoa; Chordata; Mammalia; Artiodactyla; Suidae
Description: lncRNA (ENSSSCG00015065782.1)
Source: RNAcentral
GAUAAUGUAAACUUCCCACAGGCAAGGAAGAUAAUUACACUUUUCUACAUCCCACAAAGACACUAGUGUAUCAUGCUCGCUACCUCUGAGUCCCUUUGGAAUAAUUAAGAGUAGAAAAUCUUGGUAAAGAAACGAUAUAAUAUGUCUCUAUCCUAGGAAUGUUUCUGUCCCUUGUUCUAGAGUCAGACUCUUUUUUAAAUUUUUGUACUUUAUUCCUAAGGUGAAAUGUUUCACAAGAAGAUACACUUAAAACAUCACUAAUUAUUGGAAAAAUGCAAAUCAAAACUACAGUGAAGUACCACUGUACCUCAGAAUGGACAUCAUCAGUAAGUCUACAAAUAACAAAUGCUGGUGAGGGUGUGGAGAAAAAGGAACCCUCCUUCACUGUUGGUGGGAAUGUAAAUUGGUACAGCCACUGUGGACAACAGUAUGGAGAUUCCUCAGAAAGCUAAAUAAAGAACUAACGUAUGAUCCAGCAAUGCCAUUCCUGGGCAUCUAUCUGGACAAAACUACAAUUCAAAAAAAUACAUGUACCCGUAUGUUUAUAGCAGCACUGUUCACAAUAGCCAAAACAUGGAAACAACCUACGUGUCCAUUGACAGAUGAAUGGAUUAAGAAUAUGUGGUCCAUAUAUACAAUGGAAUACUACUCAACCAUAAAAAGAUGAAAUAAUGCCAUUUGCAGCAACAUGGAUCAAUAGAGAGUCUCAUACUAAAUGAAGUAAGCUAGAAAGAGAAAGACAAAUACCAUAUGAUAUCACUUAAAUGUGAAAUCUAAAAUAUGCCACAGAUGAAGCUAUUGGAAGAAUAGAAACAGACUCACAAACCGACGUAGAGAACAGACUUGUGGUUGCCGAGGGGAAUGAGGGAAGAAUGGGAUGGACUGGGAAUUUGGGGUUAGUAGAUGCAAACUAUUACAUUUAGAAUAGAUAAGCAAUGAGGUCCUGCUGUGUCGCACAGGGAACUGUGUCUAGUCUCUUGGGAUAGAACGUGAUGGGGAUGAUAUUUAAAAAAAGAAUGUUAAGUAUGUGUAUGACUGGGUCACUUUGCUGUACGGCAGAAAUUGGCGCAACACUAAAUCAAUAUGCUGUAAUUUAAAAUAAUAAUGGUAAGGGAAGGAAAAAAAGAUGAUAUAUUUAAAAUUUAAAGAAAUGUGUCUAAAGGAAAAUGAAAGCUCUACAAUAGCAUGGUUGUGCAUAGCCCCUAUACAGCUUGCACUCUCAAACAUCCGGAUCCUUUAUUUUUCUAGUUCAGCAUUAAGAAGAUUUCCCAGUUCAUCCAUUAUGGGUCAGCUUCUGGAGAACAAAGUUAUAAUUUAUCGCAUCAGACUGUGAUUACAGAGCUUAUGUUCUUUGUUGGUAAUUAAUACAUGUUCUUUGCCCACUCUUGCUCACUAGAAAAACCAUUUGGGGUCUUAUUCACAAAAAAGAAUGAGUAGUUCCAGAGAUAAUAGGAUCAGAGGGAAACACUAUAUUCCAUUUUUAUACAUUACUAAGAAAUUGAAAGGGACAUUAAUUUCUUUAAAGGGCAUUCCUGCCUACGUAGUUGAAUAUUGCCUUCUAUAUACUUAAUUCCUCUUUUGACUGACUUCAUCCUGAGCUCAAUCUCACUGGAAAAUCUAUAAAAUGAUGUAUAAAACCUAUAAAAGUAAUGUCAGCAUGGAACCUAUUCACAUUCUGUGCUAGCCAGGACUAGGCUCAGCACUUCCAGACCAGAACCCCACUCACGUGACUGAGCCUGACGCCAGCCUUCCCUGAAGUUAGCAAGAAUCCAAAUGCCUUAAAAGGGAAAGGGAGGAUGAAAAUAAUUAAAUCCAAUUUUUUCCCCUAAAGAUUUUUUUGUACAUCUCUUUCUUUGUGUUCACCGUGUUGAAUUGGUUUCUUUGUCCUGUUUGUUUCAGUCAAAUAUUAAGCAGACUUAUUAUACCAACUUAACCAAGUGGUAUUUCUCUACACUUUGUUCUUUCAUUUGUUCCUGAAGGGGCCUCUCUUCCACAGGCCAGGUUUACUGAAAUUCAUGAUUGUUUAAUACAAAGGACCAGACUCAGAGCCUUAACUAAUUUUCUUCAAAUUAUUCAGGUCUGGACUCGUACAUGUUACAUAAGUUGAUUCUGUGAAAGUUGCUAUUAAGGAAGAGCUGAAAGGAGAAAAGUAAAGGACAACCUGGAAAAUGUAACAAAAACCCAGAAAGACUUUACAUAUGAUUAGGAAUUAAGGAUGUGGAAAGGAGGUAGUUAAAACAGGCAUCGAAUGCGAACUAAUAUGUUACUAAUAACAUCUUAAUUAAAGAAAUGCCAUCCACUAGAUGUUUAAAGUGUUUUAAAUCAAAAAUUGCAGACAUACUCAAAAGUAGGCAGAAUAACAUAAUCAACCCCCUGCGCUCACCACCUGCCUUUGGUAAUUAGCAGCACAUGGUCAACUUAUUUAUUUGCUGUACCAUCCUUUUCCCACAAACACUGGAUUAUUUUUAAACAAAUGCAAGAGCUCUACAUUUCCUAAUGACUUUAAGGGAGUUCCCUUUGUGGCUCAGUGGUUGAUGAACCCGACUAGGAUUCAUGAGGAUGCAGGUUCGAUCCCUAGCCAUGAUCAUUGGGUUGAGGAUCCAGCAUUGCCUUGAGCUGUGCUGUAGGUCACAGAUGUGUCUCAGAUCCUGUGUUGCUGUGGCUGUGGGGUAGGCCAGUGGCUACAGCUCCGACUGGACCCCCUAGCCUGGAAACUUCCAUAUGCCACAG